AUUGAACGCUGGCGGCAUGCCUUACACAUGCAAGUCGAACGGCAGCACGGGAGCAAUCCUGGUGGCGAGUGGCGAACGGGUGAGUAAUAUAUCGGAACGUGCCCAGUCGUGGGGAUAACGUAGCGAAAGCUACGCUAAUACCGCAUACGAUCUACGGAUGAAAGCGGGGGAUCGCAAGACCUCGCGCGAUUGGAGCGGCCGAUAUCAGAUUAGGUAGUUGGUGAGGUAAAGGCUCACCAAGCCGACGAUCUGUAGCUGGUCUGAGAGGACGACCAGCCACACUGGGACUGAGACACGGCCCAGACUCCUACGGGAGGCAGCAGUGGGGAAUUUUGGACAAUGGGCGCAAGCCUGAUCCAGCAAUGCCGCGUGAGUAAUGAAGGCCUUAGGGUUGUAAAGCUCUUUUACCAGGGAUGAUAAUGACAGUACCUGGAGAAUAAGCUCCGGCUAACUCCGUGCCAGCAGCCGCGGUAA
This 474-nucleotide ribosomal RNA is filed under the name uncultured bacterium. Its description in RNAcentral is "bacterial SSU rRNA". It matches the Rfam family "Bacterial small subunit ribosomal RNA", at positions 30 to 523 of the family's 1533-position model. The record is from RNAcentral.